AAAGGGAGCGUAGGCGGGUCGUUUAGUUGGGGGUGAAAUCCCGGGGCUCAACCUCGGAACUGCCUUCAAUACUGGCGACCUUGAGUAUGGGAGAGGUGAGUGGAACUCCGAGUGUAGAGGUGAAAUUCGUAGAUAUUCGGAAGAACACCAGUGGCGAAGGCGACUCACUGGCCCAUUACUGACGCUGAGGCUCGAAAGCGUGGGGAGCAAACAGGAUUAGAUACCCUGGU
RNAcentral lists this ribosomal RNA (230 nucleotides) under uncultured bacterium. RNAcentral describes it as "partial 16S ribosomal RNA". It matches the Rfam family "Bacterial small subunit ribosomal RNA", at positions 562 to 791 of the family's 1533-position model. The record is from RNAcentral.